RNAcentral lists this ribosomal RNA (465 nucleotides) under uncultured bacterium. RNAcentral describes it as "partial 16S ribosomal RNA". It matches the Rfam family "Bacterial small subunit ribosomal RNA", at positions 28 to 507 of the family's 1533-position model. The record is from RNAcentral.
GACGAACGCUGGCGGCGUGCUUAACACAUGCAAGUCGAACGGAAAGGCCCUGCUUGCAGGGUACUCGAGUGGCGAACGGGUGAGUAACACGUGGGUGAUCUGCCCUGCACUUCGGGAUAAGCCUGGGAAACUGGGUCUAAUACCGGAUAGGAGCCAUUUUUAGUGUGAUGGUUGGAAAGUUUUUUCGGUGUAGGAUGAGCUCGCGGCCUAUCAGCUUGUUGGUGGGGUAAUGGCCUACCAAGGCGGCGACGGGUAGCCUGCCUGAGAGGGUGGACGGCCACAUUGGGACUGAGAUACGGCCCAGACUCCUACGGGAGGCAGCAGUGGGGAAUAUUGCACAAUGGGCGCAAGCCUGAUGCAGCGACGCCGCGUGGGGGAUGACGGCCUUCGGGUUGUAAACUCCUUUCGCUAGGGACGAAGCUUUUUGUGACGGUACCUAGAUAAGAAGCACCGGCUAACUACGUG